Molecule: ribosomal RNA, 693 nt
Filed under: uncultured bacterium
Lineage: Bacteria
Description: bacterial SSU rRNA
Rfam family: Bacterial small subunit ribosomal RNA
Source: RNAcentral
AGUGGCGGACGGGUGAGUAACGCGUGAACAAUCUGCCCUGUACACAGGAAUAGCCUCGGGAAACUGGGAUUAAAACCGGAUAACACUUUUUUCUCGCAUGAGAGAGAAGUCAAAUUGAUUUAGAGGUACAGGAUGAGUUCGCGUCUGAUUAGCUAGUUGGUGAGGUAAUGGCUCACCAAGGCGACGAUCAGUAGCCGGCCUGAGAGGGUGAACGGCCACACUGGAACUGAGACACGGUCCAGACUCCUACGGGAGGCAGCAGUGGGGAAUAUUGCACAAUGGAGGAAACUCUGAUGCAGCGACGCCGCGUGAGUGAAGAAGGUCUUCGGAUCGUAAAACUCUGUCCUUGGUGACGAAAAAAAUGACGGUAGCCAAGGAGGAAGCCCCGGCUAACUACGUGCCAGCAGCCGCGGUAAUACGUAGGGGGCGAGCGUUGUCCGGAUUUACUGGGCGUAAAGGGUGAGUAGGCGGUAAUAUGUGUCAGAUGUAAAAGGCUAUGGCUUAACCAUAGUUGGCAUUUGAAACUGUAUUACUUGAGUGCAGGAGAGGUAAGUGGAAUUCCUAGUGUAGCGGUGAAAUGCGUAGAUAUUAGGAGGAACACCAGUGGCGAAGGCGACUUACUGGACUGUAACUGACGCUGAGUCACGAAAGCGUGGGUAGCAAACAGGAUUAGAUACCCUGGUAGUCCACGCU